CAGUUCAUUCUUCCGCCGCUUUCGAUCUCCUUCGUUCUCCUUCGAUCUCCGAUCUCCUUCCCUCGACCCUAUCACUCUCUCAUUUAUUUCUCUCUCCUCUUUCGAUCCUAAACCCAAAACCUUCGAAUAUCUCUCUCCAAAAUCACCAAAGAAAAGAAUUCGAUAGAGGAGAGAGAUACGACGUUCCUCUCACGGAGCUUUCUGGGUUCCCUCUAACCCGAUGAUACUGUUGUUGGCGGCGAAAACUCCUCCGGCAAUCCGUCGGCAUUUAUGGUUCUCGCCGGUGGUGGCGGAGAAGGUGGUAGCGGCAUUCCCAACCAAAUUUCAAAAUCGUCGAUUUAAUUUUAACUAGAUGAAGCUAAAGAUCAACAAAGCUUGCGAUCUCGAUCAAUUUCAUAUAUGUUCUUCCUCCUCACACCAGAAUAACAAUCAGUUGGUGUUUGGGGAUGUCUAUGGAGCUGUUUUGCAUCCUAAACAGGCGGAGCUUGAAAAAGCCCAGAUUGUGGACCUUAAAUUCCAAGUUCCUGAUGUUGGCGUUUCAGGAUUUUAUUGGAACCAGAGAAGUAGGGGAGUUUCUUAGUGGUGCUUUGGCUGAGGCUAUAUCGAAGGCGGUUUUGGCACCUCUUGAAACCAUCAGUGAGAACGGGAUUAGAAGGUCCUGGACUGACUGCUGCUCAAAAGAUGUGGUACUGCAUUGCUAUAGUAGGGGGUCAGUAUAUUUGGACGCGGUUGCAGUCGUGUUCUGCUUUUCGUAGAUGGGGAGACUCUGAGGACAUUGGGACAACGGGCAUGGCUUUUGUUGCAGCAUGUAGAAGGAUUCUAUAAGGCUGCAUCAUUUAGCAACCUGCUUUUAUUUCUCUUAACUGAAAAAUAUAGGAGUUUGAUCGAGAGAGCUCUCAGAGCCCAGCUUGAGGUGUGUUCUUGAAGGAAUUCUUGCUGAUAAAGUUGAUGAGGAUGCUUCCUUUUCUUACUUCUUUUUUUUUUCCCGGAUUUGGUUAUGUUUUCGCGACUCCGAUUUUACAAACUAGGGAUUUUAAUUGCUGGAGUAUUAUGUUUUUUCGUUUUUGCAAUUUUCAUUACCAAUUGAAAGCGUAUUUAUAACGAGGUUUUGCUUUUGAUUACGUUUUAGAAAUAUGAUUUGAAUUCCGAAUAAGUUCUGCCUACAAGUCUCAA
Long non-coding RNA from Spinacia oleracea (spinach), 1173 nucleotides. RefSeq lists it as uncharacterized. The transcript has 6 exons. Lineage: Eukaryota; Viridiplantae; Streptophyta; Magnoliopsida; Caryophyllales; Amaranthaceae. The record is from RefSeq and is a predicted model, not a curated record.